Molecule: ribosomal RNA, 584 nt
Filed under: uncultured Verrucomicrobiota bacterium
Lineage: Bacteria; Pseudomonadati; Verrucomicrobiota
Description: bacterial SSU rRNA
Rfam family: Bacterial small subunit ribosomal RNA
Source: RNAcentral
AACGUAGCUGCAGUCGACGAUUCCUACGGGAGGCAGCAGUAGGGAAUAUUGCGCAAUGGGGGAAACCCUGACGCAGCAACGCCGCGUGUGGGAUGACGGCUUUCGGGUUGUAAACCACUUUCAGUGAUGACGAAAAUGACGGUAAUCACAGAAGAAGGUCCGGCCAACUACGUGCCAGCAGCCGCGGUAACACGUAGGGACCAAGCGUUGUCCGGAUUUAUUGGGCGUAAAGGGUCCGUAGGGGGUUUGAUAAGUCUGGUGUGAAAGCCCAAGGCUCAACCUUGGAAUUGCAUCAGAAACUGUCAAACUUGAGCAUAGGAGAGGAGAGUGGAAUUCCUGGUGUAGCGGUGGAAUGCGUAGAUAUCAGGAGGAACACCGAUGGCGAAGGCAGCUCUCUGGACUAUUGCUGACCCUGAGGGACGAAAGCUAGGGGAGCGAACAGGAUUAGAUACCCUGGUAGUCCUAGCCGUAAACGUUGUACACUAGGUGUGGGAGGAAUUGACCCCUUCCGCGCCCCAGCUAACGCGAUAAGUGUACCGCCUGGGGAGUACGGCGGCAACGCUAAAACUCAAAUGAAUUGACGG